CCUACGGGAGGCAGCAGUGGGGAAUUGUUCGCAAUGGGCGCAAGCCUGACGACGCAACGCCGCGUGGAGGACGAAGAUCUUCGGGUCGUAAACUCCUGUCGAGUGGGAAGAACAUCUUUCCGAUGAAUAUUCGGAGAGACUGACGGUACCACUAAAGGAAGCCCCGGCCAACUCCGUGCCAGCAGCCGCGGUAAU
Molecule: ribosomal RNA, 195 nt
Filed under: uncultured Acidobacteriota bacterium
Lineage: Bacteria; Pseudomonadati; Acidobacteriota
Description: uncultured Acidobacteria bacterium partial 16S ribosomal RNA
Rfam family: Bacterial small subunit ribosomal RNA
Source: RNAcentral